Molecule: long non-coding RNA, 255 nt
Filed under: Olea europaea (common olive)
Lineage: Eukaryota; Viridiplantae; Streptophyta; Magnoliopsida; Lamiales; Oleaceae
Description: long non-coding RNA (OEUR_LNC010137)
Source: RNAcentral
GAGAGUAAAACGAAUCAAUCCUGCAUAGGAUAGGUAGCAUUUAGCUUUGAACCUUCCCUCGUGAAAAUCUAUCGAGUAUUACCAGCAAACCAGUGGAUCUGAUACCUUGAACUGUUUCGCCAUUUGUGUAAAUCAAGACAAUAGACCUCACACAGGACCAUUCUAGACACAGCAUAGUUCUCAAUGUUGUGUUCGUUUUGGCCAUGAACACGUCGCCUGGUUCUGCAAGUGUUUGUUCAAGGAUGUAGCCUUCCC